Molecule: ribosomal RNA, 301 nt
Filed under: uncultured bacterium
Lineage: Bacteria
Description: partial 16S ribosomal RNA
Rfam family: Bacterial small subunit ribosomal RNA
Source: RNAcentral
CAGUAGCCGCGGUAAAACGGGGGGGGCAAGUGUUAUUCGGAAUGACUGGGCGUAAAGGGCACGUAGGCGGUGAAAAGGGUGGAAAGUGAAAGUCGCCAAAACACUGGCGGGGUGCUUUCUUGACCAUUUCACUUGAGUGAGAUAAGGGAGAGUGGAAUUUCGUGUGGAGGGAUCAAAUCCUAAGAUAUACGAAGGAACGCCAACCGCGAAGGCGGCUCUUUGGGUCCCCACUGACACUGGGGUGCGAAAGCAUGGGGAGCAAACAAGAUCAGAUACCCCCGUAGUCCCUGUCUCUUAUACA